Molecule: transfer RNA, 66 nt
Filed under: Asclepios apicalis
Lineage: Eukaryota; Metazoa; Arthropoda; Insecta; Hemiptera; Gerridae
Description: tRNA-Met
Source: RNAcentral
AGAAAGAUAAGCUAAGUUAAGCUUUUAGGUUCAUACCCUGAAAAUAGAAAAAAUUUCUUCUUUCUA